UACAGAGGAGCCAAGCGUUGUCCGGAUUGACUGGGCGUAAAGCGCACGCAGGCGGCCGCGCGCGUGGGGUGUGAAAUCUGGCCGCUUAACGGCCAGGCGCCAUCCCAUACGGCGCGGCUGGAGCCAUGCAGAGGGCGGUGGAAUUGCCGGUGUAGUGGUGAAAUGCGUAGAGAUCGGCAGGAACCCCCAGGGGGAAACCAGCCGCCUGGGCAUGCGCUGACGCUGAGGUGCGAGAGCGUGGGGAGCGAACCGG
RNAcentral lists this ribosomal RNA (253 nucleotides) under uncultured bacterium. RNAcentral describes it as "partial 16S ribosomal RNA". It matches the Rfam family "Bacterial small subunit ribosomal RNA", at positions 524 to 776 of the family's 1533-position model. The record is from RNAcentral.